UACGAAGGGAGCUAGCGUUACCCGGAAUUAUUGGGCGUAAAGCGUGCGUAGGCGGCUAAGAAAGUUGGAAGUGAAAGCCCAGGGCUCAACCCUGGAAUUGCUUCCAGAACUCCUUAGCUUGAGUAUCAGAGGGGAUAGUGGAAUUCCUAGUGUAAAGGUGAAAUUCGUAGAUAUUAGGAGGAACACCGGUGGCGAAAGCGACUAUCUGGCUGAUUACUGACGCUGUUGCACGAAAGCGUGGGGAGCAAACAGG
Molecule: ribosomal RNA, 253 nt
Filed under: uncultured bacterium
Lineage: Bacteria
Description: partial 16S ribosomal RNA
Rfam family: Bacterial small subunit ribosomal RNA
Source: RNAcentral